GGAGGAUCCAAGCGUUAUCCGGAUUUAUUGGGUUUAAAGGGUGCGUAGGCGGCCUGUUAAGUCAGGGGUGAAAGACGGUGGCUCAACCAUCGCAGUGCCCUUGAUACUGAUGGGCUUGAAUAAACUAGAGGUAGGCGGAAUGUGACAAGUAGCGGUGAAAUGCAUAGAUAUGUCACAGAACACCGAUUGCGAAGGCAGCCUACUAUGGUUUCAUUGACGCUGAGGCACGAAAGCGUGGGGAUCGAACAGGAUUAGAUACCCUGGUAGUCCACGCCCUAAACGAUGAACACUCGCUGUUGGCGAUACACAGUCAGCGGCUAAGCGAAAGCGUUAAGUGUUCCACCUGGGGAGUACGCCCGCAAGGGUG
This 367-nucleotide ribosomal RNA is filed under the name uncultured bacterium. RNAcentral describes it as "bacterial SSU rRNA". It matches the Rfam family "Bacterial small subunit ribosomal RNA", at positions 527 to 896 of the family's 1533-position model. The record is from RNAcentral.